Molecule: ribosomal RNA, 406 nt
Filed under: uncultured bacterium
Lineage: Bacteria
Description: bacterial SSU rRNA
Rfam family: Bacterial small subunit ribosomal RNA
Source: RNAcentral
UGGGGAAUAUUGCGCAAUGGGCGAAAGCCUGACGCAGCGACGCCGCGUGCGGGAUGACGGCCUUCGGGUUGUAAACCGCUGUCGGGAGGGACGAAGCUCUGACGGUACCUCCAAAGGAAGCACCGGCUAACUCUGUGCCAGCAGCCGCGGUAAUACAGAGGGUGCGAGCGUUGUCCGGAAUCACUGGGCGUAAAGGGCGCGUAGGCGGCCUGGUAAGUAGGGGGUGAAAUCCCGUGGCUCAACCGCGGGACGGCCUCCUAGACUGCCGGGCUGGAGCACGGUAGAGGCAGGUGGAAUUCCCGGUGUAGCGGUGGAAUGCGUAGAGAUCGGGAAGAACAUCGGUGGCGAAGGCGGCCUGCUGGACCGUUGCUGACGCUGAGGCGCGACAGCGUGGGGAGCAAACAGG